UUCGGCCGGUGAGAUGCCGUCGCCAGAAACUGACACCCCUUGAACAAACAAACCGAAGGGACAACCCCUCAAAAGCAGAAAGGGAGAUUACACGGCCGGUUAUACGCCGUCGCCGUGAACAUCCCUUCUGUCUACCAAAAACCAUUGAUAUCUAGAAAGUCAUUUCUGAAAACAGCUCUGCUCUCCACCCGUGUGCUGCUCUGGACGAGACUGCAGAGCUGCAAAACUCAUAUAGAAAUGAAUGGUCGAUGUUAAAUUAU
This 260-nucleotide long non-coding RNA is filed under the name Salvia miltiorrhiza (redroot sage). Its description in RNAcentral is "long non-coding RNA (SMIL_LNC002132)". The record is from RNAcentral. Lineage: Eukaryota; Viridiplantae; Streptophyta; Magnoliopsida; Lamiales; Lamiaceae.